UACUCCUACGGGAGGCAGCAGUGGGGAAUUUUGCGCAAUGGGCGAAAGCCUGACGCAGCAACGCCGCGUGAGUGAUGAAGGUUUUCGGAUCGUAAAGCUCUGUCAGGAGGAAAGAAACUCCAGAAGGCUAAUAUCCUUUUGGACUGACGGUACCUCCAAAGGAAGCACCGGCUAACUCCGUGCCAGCAGCCGCGGUAAUA
Molecule: ribosomal RNA, 200 nt
Filed under: uncultured Desulfuromonas sp.
Lineage: Bacteria; Pseudomonadati; Thermodesulfobacteriota; Desulfuromonadia; Desulfuromonadales; Desulfuromonadaceae
Description: partial 16S ribosomal RNA
Rfam family: Bacterial small subunit ribosomal RNA
Source: RNAcentral